Molecule: ribosomal RNA, 215 nt
Filed under: uncultured Pycnococcaceae
Lineage: Eukaryota; Viridiplantae; Chlorophyta; Pseudoscourfieldiophyceae; Pseudoscourfieldiales; Pycnococcaceae
Description: partial Bacterial large subunit ribosomal RNA
Rfam family: Bacterial large subunit ribosomal RNA
Source: RNAcentral
UUCGGUUCCUAUCUAGCAUUUAUAGUGAAAAAUUAAAAGGUUUUCUCUCUAGUACGAGAGGAUCGAGAUUAAGCUGACCUCUGGUUUACCGGUUGUAUUGCCUAAUGCAUCGCCGGGUCGCUACGUCUGUAUGAAUAACUGCUGAAAGCAUCUAAGCGGGAAGUCAUCCUUUAAACUUAUUUUUACUACCGUAGAAGACUACUACGUUGAUAGGC